UACGUAGGGUGCGAGCGUUAAUCGGAAUUACUGGGCGUAAAGCGUGCGCAGGCGGUUCGCUAAGACAGGUGUGAAAUCCCCGUGCUUAACCUGGGAAUGGCGCUUGUGACUGGCGGGCUGGAGUACGGCAGAGGGAGGUGGAAUUCCACGUGUAGAAGUGAAAUGCGUAGAGAUGUGGAGGAACAACGAUGGCGAAGGCAGUCUCCUGGGCCAGUACUGACGCUCAUGCACGAAAGCGUGGGGAGCAAACAGG
This 253-nucleotide ribosomal RNA is filed under the name uncultured bacterium. RNAcentral describes it as "partial 16S ribosomal RNA". It matches the Rfam family "Bacterial small subunit ribosomal RNA", at positions 524 to 776 of the family's 1533-position model. The record is from RNAcentral.